Molecule: ribosomal RNA, 2644 nt
Filed under: Klebsiella pneumoniae
Lineage: Bacteria; Pseudomonadati; Pseudomonadota; Gammaproteobacteria; Enterobacterales; Enterobacteriaceae
Description: partial 23S ribosomal RNA
Rfam family: Bacterial large subunit ribosomal RNA
Source: RNAcentral
UGUGAACUCGAAGAGUAGGGCGGGACACGUGGUAUCCUGUCUGAAUAUGGGGGGACCAUCCUCCAAGGCUAAAUACUCCUGACUGACCGAUAGUGAACCAGUACCGUGAGGGAAAGGCGAAAAGAACCCCGGCGAGGGGAGUGAAAAAGAACCUGAAACCGUGUACGUACAAGCAGUGGGAGCACCUUCGGGUGUGACUGCGUACCUUUUGUAUAAUGGGUCAGCGACUUAUAUUCUGUAGCAAGGUUAACCGUAUAGGGGAGCCGCAGGGAAACCGAGUCUUAACUGGGCGUUAAGUUGCAGGGUAUAGACCCGAAACCCGGUGAUCUAGCCAUGGGCAGGUUGAAGGUUGGGUAACACUAACUGGAGGACCGAACCGACUAAUGUUGAAAAAUUAGCGGAUGACUUGUGGCUGGGGGUGAAAGGCCAAUCAAACCGGGAGAUAGCUGGUUCUCCCCGAAAGCUAUUUAGGUAGCGCCUCGUGAACUCAUCUUCGGGGGUAGAGCACUGUUUCGGCUAGGGGGUCAUCCCGACUUACCAACCCGAUGCAAACUACGAAUACCGAAGAAUGUUAUCACGGGAGACACACGGCGGGUGCUAACGUCCGUCGUGAAGAGGGAAACAACCCAGACCGCCAGCUAAGGUCCCAAAGUCAUGGUUAAGUGGGAAACGAUGUGGGAAGGCACAGACAGCCAGGAUGUUGGCUUAGAAGCAGCCAUCAUUUAAAGAAAGCGUAAUAGCUCACUGGUCGAGUCGGCCUGCGCGGAAGAUGUAACGGGGCUAAACCAUGCACCGAAGCUGCGGCAGCGACACUAUGUGUUGUUGGGUAGGGGAGCGUUCUGUAAGCCUGCGAAGGUGACCUGUGAGGGUUGCUGGAGGUAUCAGAAGUGCGAAUGCUGACAUAAGUAACGAUAAAGCGGGUGAAAAGCCCGCUCGCCGGAAGACCAAGGGUUCCUGUCCAACGUUAAUCGGGGCAGGGUGAGUCGACCCCUAAGGCGAGGCCGAAAGGCGUAGUCGAUGGGAAACAGGUUAAUAUUCCUGUACUUGGUGUUACUGCGAAGGGGGGACGGAGAAGGCUAUGUUAGCCGGGCGACGGUUGUCCCGGUUUAAGCAUGUAGGCUGGUUGUCCAGGCAAAUCCGGAUAAUCAAGGCUGAGGUGUGAUGACGAGGCACUACGGUGCUGAAGUAACAAAUGCCCUGCUUCCAGGAAAAGCCUCUAAGCAUCAGGUAACAUUAANNNNNNNNNNNNNNNNNNNNNNNNNNNNNNNNNNNNNNNNNNNNNNNNNNNNNNNNNNNNNNNNNNNNNNNNNNNNNNNNNNNNNNNNNNNNNNNUUAAAUCGUACCCCAAACCGACACAGGUGGUCAGGUAGAGAAUACCAAGGCGCUUGAGAGAACUCGGGUGAAGGAACUAGGCAAAAUGGUGCCGUAACUUCGGGAGAAGGCACGCUGGUGUGUAGGUGAAGUCCCUGCGGAUGGAGCUGAGACCAGUCGAAGAUACCAGCUGGCUGCAACUGUUUAUUAAAAACACAGCACUGUGCAAACACGAAAGUGGACGUAUACGGUGUGACGCCUGCCCGGUGCCGGAAGGUUAAUUGAUGGGGUUAUCCGUAAGGAGAAGCUCUUGAUCGAAGCCCCGGUAAACGGCGGCCGUAACUAUAACGGUCCUAAGGUAGCGAAAUUCCUUGUCGGGUAAGUUCCGACCUGCACGAAUGGCGUAAUGAUGGCCAGGCUGUCUCCACCCGAGACUCAGUGAAAUUGAACUCGCUGUGAAGAUGCAGUGUACCCGCGGCAAGACGGAAAGACCCCGUGAACCUUUACUAUAGCUUGACACUGAACAUUGAGCCUUGAUGUGUAGGAUAGGUGGGAGGCUUUGAAGCGUGGACGCCAGUCUGCGUGGAGCCAACCUUGAAAUACCACCCUUUAAUGUUUGAUGUUCUAACGUUGGCCCCUUACCGGGGUUGCGGACAGUGUCUGGUGGGUAGUUUGACUGGGGCGGUCUCCUCCCAAAGCGUAACGGAGGAGCACGAAGGUUAGCUAAUCCUGGUCGGACAUCAGGAGGUUAGUGCAAUGGCAUAAGCUAGCUUGACUGCGAGCGUGACGGCGCGAGCAGGUGCGAAAGCAGGUCAUAGUGAUCCGGUGGUUCUGAAUGGAAGGGCCAUCGCUCAACGGAUAAAAGGUACUCCGGGGAUAACAGGCUGAUACCGCCCAAGAGUUCAUAUCGACGGCGGUGUUUGGCACCUCGAUGUCGGCUCAUCACAUCCUGGGGCUGAAGUAGGUCCCAAGGGUAUGGCUGUUCGCCAUUUAAAGUGGUACGCGAGCUGGGUUUAGAACGUCGUGAGACAGUUCGGUCCCUAUCUGCCGUGGGCGCUGGAGAAUUGAGGGGGGCUGCUCCUAGUACGAGAGGACCGGAGUGGACGCAUCACUGGUGUUCGGGUUGUCAUGCCAAUGGCACUGCCCGGUAGCUAAAUGCGGAAGAGAUAAGUGCUGAAAGCAUCUAAGCACGAAACUUGCCCCGAGAUGAGUUCUCCCUGAGACUUUAAGUCUCCUGAAGGAACGUUGAAGACGACGACGUUGAUAGGCCGGGUGUGUAAGCGCAGCGAUGCGUUGAGCUAACCGGUACUAAUGAACCGUGAGGCUUAACCUU